UUUACAUUUGCAAACUUUGGGAGACAUGUUUUUUUUUUUUUAUUUCCCGUGCUCCCUGUUCUCCUGAGAGUCCGCUGCGCCGCCCAGCCUGUCGCCCCCGGAGGUGAGCCCUCCCUCCUGCCUGCUGCCAGCUGACCUGUGCCCGGCUCGCGGGCAGCAGCCUCUGCCCGGCGAGCCCCCGGCAGCUGUCGGCGCGAUG
RNAcentral lists this non-coding RNA (199 nucleotides) under Dasypus novemcinctus (nine-banded armadillo). RNAcentral describes it as "Mnt IRES". It matches the Rfam family "Mnt IRES". Rfam says of the family: This family represents the Mnt internal ribosome entry site (IRES). Mnt is a transcriptional repressor related to the Myc/Mad family of transcription factors. Lineage: Eukaryota; Metazoa; Chordata; Mammalia; Cingulata; Dasypodidae. The record is from Rfam by way of RNAcentral.